This 492-nucleotide ribosomal RNA is filed under the name uncultured bacterium. RNAcentral describes it as "partial 16S ribosomal RNA". It matches the Rfam family "Bacterial small subunit ribosomal RNA", at positions 28 to 523 of the family's 1533-position model. The record is from RNAcentral.
GAUGAACGCUAGCGGCAGGCCUAACACAUGCAAGUCGAGGGGUAGAAGGCUUCGGCCUUUGAGACCGGCGCACGGGUGCGUAACGCGUAUGCAAUCUGCCUUACACUGGGGAUAGCGCAGAGAAAUGUGGCUUAAUACCCCAUAGUAUUUUUGCCUGGCAUCAGGUGAUUAUUACAGUUUUUCGGUGUAAGAUGAGCAUGCGUCCCAUUAGCUAGUUGGUAUGGUAACGGCAUACAAAGGGAAUGAUGGGUAGGGGUCCUGAGAGGGAGAUCCCCCACACUGGUACUGAGACACGGACCAGACUCCGACGGGAGGCAGCAGUGAGGAAUAUUGGUCAAUGGGCGAGAGCCUGAACCAGCCAUGCCGCGUGCAGGAUGAAGCAUCUAUGGUGUGUAAACUGCUUUUGUACGGGAAGAAACACCUCUACGUGUAGAGGCUUGACGGUACCGUAAGAAUAAGGAUCGGCUAACUCCGUGCCAGCCGCCGCUGUAA